UACGUAGGGAGCGUGCGUUAUCCGGAAUUAUUGGGUGUAAAGGGUGCGUAGACGGGAAAGCAAGUUAGUUGUGAAAUCCCUCGGCUUAACUGAGGAACUGCAACUAAAACUACUUUUCUUGAGUGCAGGAGAGGUAAGUGGAAUUCCUAGUGUAGCGGUGAAAUGCGUAGAUAUUAGGAGGAACACCAGUGGCGAAGGCGACUUACUGGACUGUAACUGACGUUGAGGCACGAAAGUGUGGGAAGCAAACAGG
Molecule: ribosomal RNA, 253 nt
Filed under: uncultured bacterium
Lineage: Bacteria
Description: partial 16S ribosomal RNA
Rfam family: Bacterial small subunit ribosomal RNA
Source: RNAcentral